CCGUAAUACGGAGGGUGCAAGCGUUAAUCGGAAUUACUGGGCGUAAAGCGCACGCAGGCGGCUUUUUAAGUCGGAUGUGAAAGCCCCGGGCUCAACCUGGGAAUUGCAUUCGAUACUGGAAAGCUAGAGUAUGUGAGAGGGGGGUAGAAUUCCAAGUGUAGCGGUGAAAUGCGUAGAGAUUUGGAGGAAUACCAGUGGCGAAGGCGGCCCCCUGGCACAAUACUGACGCUCAGGUGCGAAAGCGUGGGGAGCAAACAGGAUUAGAUACCCUGGUAGUCCACGCCGUAAACGAUGUCUACUAGAUGUUCGAGGUCUUGUACUUUGAGUAUCGCAGCUAACGCAUUAAGUAGACCGCCU
This 357-nucleotide ribosomal RNA is filed under the name uncultured bacterium. RNAcentral's name for it is "bacterial SSU rRNA". It matches the Rfam family "Bacterial small subunit ribosomal RNA", at positions 518 to 874 of the family's 1533-position model. The record is from RNAcentral.